GAUGAACGCUAGCGGCAGGCUUAACACAUGCAAGUCGAGGGGUAUGUGGCUUCGGCCACAGAGACCGGCGCACGGGUGCGUAACGCGUAUGCAACCUACCUUGAACAGGGGGAUAGCCCAGAGAAAUUUGGAUUAAUACCCCAUGGUAUAUUUGGAUGGCAUCAUUCGAUUAUUAAAGAUUUAUCGGUUCAAGAUGGGCAUGCGUCCCAUUAGCUAGUUGGUAAGGUAACGGCUUACCAAGGCAACGAUGGGUAGGGGUCCUGAGAGGGAGAUCCCCCACACUGGUACUGAGACACGGACCAGACUCCUACGGGAGGCAGCAGUGAGGAAUAUUGGUCAAUGGGCGCAAGCCUGAACCAGCCAUGCCGCGUGCAGGAUGACGGUCCUAUGGAUUGUAAACUGCUUUUGUACGGGAAGAAACAGAGGUUCGUGAACCUCCUUGACGGUACCGUAAGAAUAAGGAUCGGCUAACUCCGUGCCAGCAGCCGCGGUAAUACGGAGGGUCCAAGCGUUAUCCGGAAUCAUUGGGUUUAAAGGGUCCGUAGGCGGCCUUGUAAGUCAGUGGUGAAAUCUCCCGGCUCAACCGGGAAAUGGCCCAUUGAUACUGCAGGGCUUGAAUUACUGGGAAGUAACUAGAAUAUGUAGUGUAGCGGUGAAAUGCUUAGAUAUUACAUGGAAUACCAAUUGCGAAGGCAGGUUACUACCAGUUUAUUGACGCUGAUGGACGAAAGCGUGGGUAGCGAACAGGAUUAGAUACCCUGGUAGUCCACGCCGUAAACGAUGGAUACUAGCUGUUGGGGGCAACUUCAGUGGCUAAGCGAAAGUGAUAAGUAUCCCACCUGGGGAGUACGAACGCAAGUUUGAAACUCAAAGGAAUUGACGGGGGCCCGCACAAGCGGUGGAGCAUGUGGUUUAAUUCGAUGAUACGCGAGGAACCUUACCAAGGCUUAAAUGUAGUCUGACAGGCGUGGAAACAUGCUUUUCUUCGGACAGAUUACAAGGUGCUGCAUGGUUGUCGUCAGCUCGUGCCGUGAGGUGUCAGGUUAAGUCCUAUAACGAGCGCAACCCCUGUUGUUAGUUGCCAGCGAGUCAUGUCGGGAACUCUAACAAGACUGCCAGUGCAAACUGUGAGGAAGGUGGGGAUGACGUCAAAUCAUCACGGCCCUUACGCCUUGGGCUACACACGUGCUACAAUGGCCGGUACAGAGAGCAGCCACCUCGUGAGGGGGAGCGAAUCUACAAAACCGGUCACAGUUCGGAUCGGAGUCUGCAACUCGACUCCGUGAAGCUGGAAUCGCUAGUAAUCGGAUAUCAGCCAUGAUCCGGUGAAUACGUUCCCGGGCCUUGUACACACC
Molecule: ribosomal RNA, 1355 nt
Filed under: uncultured bacterium
Lineage: Bacteria
Description: bacterial SSU rRNA
Rfam family: Bacterial small subunit ribosomal RNA
Source: RNAcentral